AUGGCACAUAAUAGAGCCCCUGGCCCGGACAACAUUCCUGUAGAAUUUUAUCAGGUGUGUUGGGAUAUUGUGAAGGAUGAUAUUACGUCUCUCUUUGAACAUUUUCAUAAAGGGGAUCUAGAUGUUCAACGCCUUAAUUAUGGUGUGAUUACCCUUCUUCUUAAACCCGCAGGUGCAGACAAGAUCCAACAGUUCCAACCCAUUUGCCUCUUGAGAUGUUCGUACAAGCUCAUUACCAAGGUCCUAGAUAGGCGAGUCAAAAAAUAUGCUGAUAAGCUAAUCAACAGGACCCAGAAUGCUUUUGUGAAGGGGAUGAACAUCAUGGAUGGUGUGAUGUCUCUGCAUGAGAUUCUUAAUUAG
RNAcentral lists this ribosomal RNA (360 nucleotides) under Triticum aestivum (bread wheat). RNAcentral describes it as "partial small subunit ribosomal RNA". Lineage: Eukaryota; Viridiplantae; Streptophyta; Magnoliopsida; Poales; Poaceae. The record is from RNAcentral.